UUGCCAUCAUUGAGUUGGGCACUCUAAAGAGAUGCCGGUGUCAAACCGGAGGAAGGUGGGGAUGACGUCAAGUCCUCAUGGCCUUUAUGACCAGGGCUACACACGUACUACAAUGGCCGGUACAAAGGGCAGCGACACAGCGAUGUGAAGCGAAUCCCGAAAAGCCGGUCUCAGUCCGGAUUGGAGUCUGCAACUCGACUCCAUGAAGUUGGAAUCGCUAGUAAUCGUGAAUCAGAAUGUCACGGUGAAUACGUUCCCGGGCCUU
Molecule: ribosomal RNA, 265 nt
Filed under: uncultured Desulfocapsa sp.
Lineage: Bacteria; Pseudomonadati; Thermodesulfobacteriota; Desulfobulbia; Desulfobulbales; Desulfocapsaceae
Description: partial 16S ribosomal RNA
Rfam family: Bacterial small subunit ribosomal RNA
Source: RNAcentral